RNAcentral lists this ribosomal RNA (313 nucleotides) under uncultured Tomentella. Its description in RNAcentral is "eukaryotic LSU rRNA". The stretch from base 258 to 313 matches the Rfam family "Eukaryotic large subunit ribosomal RNA", at positions 1 to 56 of the family's 3401-position model. Lineage: Eukaryota; Fungi; Basidiomycota; Agaricomycetes; Thelephorales; Thelephoraceae. The record is from RNAcentral.
GCUAUUCCAGAGGGCAUGCCUGUUUGAGUAUCAUGAACACCUCAACUCUCACGGUUUGCCGUGAUGAGCUUGGACUUUGGGGGUCUUGCUGGCCUGUGGUCGGCUUCUCUUAAAUGGAUCAGCUUGCCAGUGUUUGGUGGCAUCACAGGUGUGAUAACUAUCUACGCUUGUGGUUUUCCACCAGGUAACCUUCAGCGAUGGAGGUUCGCUGGAGCUCAUAAACGUCUCUCCUCAGCGAGGACAGCUUCUUGAACGUUUGAUCUCAAAUCAGGUAGGGCUACCCGCUGAACUUAAGCAUAUCAAUAAGCGGAGG